This is a long non-coding RNA of Eriocheir sinensis (Chinese mitten crab), 2600 nucleotides long. RefSeq lists it as uncharacterized. The record is from RefSeq and is a predicted model, not a curated record. The transcript is spliced from 4 exons. NCBI's taxonomy places the organism in Eukaryota, Metazoa, Arthropoda, Malacostraca, Decapoda, Varunidae.
AGAGAGAGAGAGAGAGAGAGAGAGAGAUGACUGAUCGAGGGGUGGCACAUCAGCUUUCAUCCCUUAAUCUCUCUAAUCUUAUCCUCGUCUUAUCACCGGGGAAGAAAAUCAGGUCUCGUCAGCGUCCCGUCUCAAAGGGGUCUCUGGGGCGUAAUACCCUUGUCCUGACGUCACCCUCCGUGCCUGCCGCGGGAAGCUGACGUGGGGAGGUAAACACUGACAUCACCUCGCCGCCUCUCAGGUUUCACGGCGCGUCUUCAUUCACUGGGACCGGAUGAACCGCGAGCCAUGUGCCGGAACAGAUUUCGAAGCGGCGUAUUUGAGUGAUUUCCUGUUUAUUUUACCCGUUUUCUUUCUUUUCUCGGUUUUAUAGUUACUUUUCCGUAUUUUUUUUUCUAAUUUCCUGCUUAUUUUCCCUUUUUGUAUUUUUUUCACGUUUAUAUGGUUAUUUUUACGCGUUUUAUUUUCUUGUUUUGUGCGAGUAUGCGUUUUCAAAAUUGUACCUUUCUUGUUUUCUUUUUGUCUCUGUGCUGUGCUGUUUCUGUGUGUGUGUGUGUGUGUGUGUGUGUGUGUGUGUGGAAGGGCCUCUUGUGUAAUCACUUAAUAACAGCGAGAAAUAAGUGUGUGCAUUGUCGAGGGGUGCUUGAAUAAAAGGGGGCGAGGGGAGGGGAGAGGAGGAAGAGGAGAAGAUGAUGAGGUAAUGGAGAAGAGAGGUGUGAAGAGAGGGAGGGAGAGGUGACGAAAGGGAGGGAGGGGGAAGGGAGUGUGAGGUAAGGGCCGGUUUUGCUUCUCUUAUUACACCUCAAGAGAAGGGAGAUUGAAGUAAGGUCAGUUAGGGAAGAGAAGAAAAGGGAGAUUGAAGUAAGGUCAGUUAGGGAAGAGAAGAAAAGGGAGAUUGAAGUAAGGUCAGUUAGGGAAGAGAAGAAAAGGGAGAUUGAAGUAAGGUCAGUUAGGGAAGAGAAGAAAAGGGAGAUUGAAGUAAGGUCAGUUAGGGAAGAGAAGAAAAGGGAGAUUGAAGUAAGGUCAGUUCCUCCUUCUCUUCCUACAUCUAAGAGAGGGAAGAAAAGGAAGAAAAAGGAGAGGAGUGUGAGGUGGAGCCAUUUCUUACUUCUCUUCCUACACCUAAAGAGAAGGGAAGAGAAGGAGAUUGAGGGAAGGGUUUAGUUAGGGCCAGUAUUUUCGCCUCCUCUCCCACCUACUAAAGAAAGAACCCGUCACUCUCAGCAUCGUUACCAACUCAACACUACCGGAAAACAAUGCAUAAUAGAAAGAAAAAGUAGCAUCGCAAAAAGCCGAGGCGUUGAAACAAAAGACAAGCGUGACAGGUCAAAUUCAGCGCAACCCAGAAAUCGGAUCUAGUCAGUCAGCGUGAGACUGAUAAAGUGCAAAAGAGCAAGAAGGAAAAAAAGACAGUCAACACAUCUUGGUAAACUUUGAAAGGAAGAUAAACAAAAGGAAAUGUGUGAUACUGGCGAUAAAAAAGUAACAGGAAAAAUAAUUAUACGCGGUUCGGUGACUUUGAAUGCAUGAGACAGACGGCAACGCAUAUUACUGGUGAUGAAAACAAAGACUUAGUAAACUUUGAUAAGAAGAUAAACAAGAGGAACUGUGUGAUACUGGCGAUAAAAAAGUAAUAGGAAAAAUAACUAUACGCGGUUCGGUGAAUUUGAAUGCAUGAGACAGACGGCAUCGCAUAUUACUGGUGAUGAAAACAAAGACUUAGUAAACUUUGAUAAGAAGAUAAAGUAAAUGAAAUGUGUUAUAAUGACGAUGUGGAAAAAGUAGUAGAAAAAAACAGUCCUACGCGGUUCGGUUACUUUGAAUGAGCGACAAAAGGCAACGCGUGAAAUUAAUGAAAAAAAAAAAAACUUCGCAAACUUUGAUAAGAAGAGAAACAAAGGAAAUGUGUAAUAUUAACGACGUAAAAAAAAGGUGAUAGGAAGAAAAACUGACACUUCACACUUCGUUAAACUUUGAUAUGAGAAACAAACGCAUAAACUGUCGAUGAGAAACCUUCGUAACCUUUGAAUAGAAGAUAAACAAAAGGAAUAGUGCAGUGUUGUCGAUGGAAAAAAGAAAAAAAAACGAUCUACACACUUCGUUAAUUUUGAUAUGAGAAAUAAAUGGCAACUCAUAAUACUGGUGAUGGAAAAAGCACUGUAUGAACUCUGAUAAGAAGAUAAAAGAAAGGAAAUGGAUAAGAUUGAAAACAGGAAAGACGCGCAGAAAAAUUGACACACACACACACACACACACACACACACACACACACACACACACACACACACACACACACACACACACACACUGAAAAAAGUAAAAAAAAAAAUAUCAAAGUGAAAAGAAAAAAAAUGAUAAAACGAAAUGAAACAAAACAAAACAAAAGAAAUAAAGGAAAACAAUACACCUCUCUGAAGGCUAAUUAGAAAGGAGGAAAUGGGUCAGGAAAUUGGUUAAAAAAAAAAAAUAUAAUAAUCAGACGAAGUGAAAAGAAAAAAAAUAAUAAAACGAAAUGAAACAAAACAAAACAAAAGAAAUAAAAGAAAACAAUACACCUCUUUGACAGCUAAUUAGAAAGGAGGAAAUGGGUCAGGAAAUUG